UACGUAGGCAGCGAGCGUUGUUCGGAGUUACUGGGCGUAAAGGGUGUGUAGGCGGUUGGUUAAGUUUGGUGUGAAAUCUCCCGGCUCAACUGGGAGGGUGCGCCGAAUACUGAAUGACUUGGAGUGCGGGAGAGGUGAGUGGAAUUCCUGGUGUAGCGGUGAAAUGCGUAGAUAUCAGGAGGAACACCGGUGGCGAAGGCGGGUCUCUGGGCAACUACUGACGCUGAGGAGCGAAAGCGUGGGGAGCGAACAGG
This 254-nucleotide ribosomal RNA is filed under the name uncultured bacterium. RNAcentral's name for it is "partial 16S ribosomal RNA". It matches the Rfam family "Bacterial small subunit ribosomal RNA", at positions 524 to 776 of the family's 1533-position model. The record is from RNAcentral.